GCAAAGAUAGCUUAAAGAAUAAAGCCAAGCACUGAAAAUGCUUUCAUAUAGGUUAAAUCCCUCUUCUUAGCA
This 72-nucleotide transfer RNA is filed under the name Henricia pachyderma. Its description in RNAcentral is "tRNA-Phe". It matches the Rfam family "tRNA". Rfam says of the family: Transfer RNA (tRNA) molecules are approximately 80 nucleotides in length. The record is from RNAcentral. Lineage: Eukaryota; Metazoa; Echinodermata; Asteroidea; Spinulosida; Echinasteridae. RNAcentral also lists the same sequence under 1 other name.